This 1161-nucleotide long non-coding RNA is filed under the name Gopherus agassizii (Agassiz's desert tortoise). RNAcentral describes it as "lncRNA (ENSGAGG00000011485.1)". The record is from RNAcentral. Lineage: Eukaryota; Metazoa; Chordata; Testudines; Testudinidae.
AAUUUCCAGGCCUAUACUUCCAACAGAAAUGUACAAACCUGCAAUAAGUCUUUUUGUUUUAGUUUCCACAGGAGACAAACAAUUCAAUAUUAUAGAGACGUGAUAAAGAUAAACGAUGAUAUGCAACUUUUUACUAACUCUUUACAAGUCAGAAAGCAGCAUAAUUACAACCUGAGCUGUACCUGGUCUAAAUUAGGACAACUACUACAUAGUCAAUCUGGCUUUCAAGUUAAACAAGAAGCAAUAGGAGUUUUGAAGAGAUCAUUGGAUUUAAGGGUUAGUUUUCUUGGUCCCACUCAUCCUCACAUCUUUGAAAUCCAGUGGCAAGUUGCUAUUUACUUUCCAAUCCAUAGAGUAAUUCAUACAGGUACAAUUACUUCUUGGAAAAUCUUGACUUUUUUUUCAGUCUACCGAAGGAAGUUGAAAAAAAUUACCAUGAUAGUGGACCAAGAUUUGGAUAUAGAAGUCAGAUGGAAGAAAGUCCCCAUUGUGCCUUACAUUUGCAGAAGAAAAUUUCUCAGGACAGACUUAAGAACAAAACUCAGAGUUGCUUUACUGUGAGAUCUCCAGUUAGCAGUUUUACUAAACUUCAGAGGACCAUAAGCAUGGAAUCACUUCAGUCCAGAAAUUCAACUGAAGAUGCAUUGAAAAAUAUCUCAAGAAAAAGUGAAAGUAUUUUUAAAGUUGUUCGUUGCAGUACUAAAUGUGAUGAUAUUAAAAUAUAUCUCUCUGACAAUGUCACAUUAUCAAAUCAACGAGAGAGCCUCAGUUCAUUAACAAUAGCAAAUGACAAUUUCACAAACCAUUUAGCUUUGUCCAAAGUAAGUAAAGUCUCAUGGUCUCCAGGCCAAAGACCUGUUUCACUGUGAAGCCAUGAUAAAAGUUGUAUUGUCUGUCAGCCUAUUACUAUCUGUUAAACAUCCAUAUCAGGCCCUUAUAGUACAAUUAGUUCCCUGAAUUCCUCAUUCAGACCAGACACCAGGUCAGAAAAAUGUCAGCUCUUUCAUAAAGUAGCAUAGUGCCAUGUGCCUAGGAGGUACCCAACUCCUCAAAACUCCCUUCCCCCUAAAAGACAUCAAAUUAGGAAAAAAUGUUCAUAAAACUGAAUUAUUAAGUAGGGAGGGAGGUUCUGAAAUAUAAAUAAAAAAAUCUGGAAAACCA